AGUGAACGCUGGCGGUAGGCCUAACACAUGCAAGUCGAACGGCAGCACAGUAAGAGCUUGCUCUUACGGGUGGCGAGUGGCGGACGGGUGAGGAAUACAUCGGAAUCUACUUUUUCGUGGGGGAUAACGUAGGGAAACUUACGCUAAUACCGCAUACGACCUACGGGUGAAAGCAGGGGAUCUUCGGACCUUGCGCGAUUGAAUGAGCCGAGGUCGGAUUAGCUAGUUGGCGGGGUAAAGGCCCACCAAGGCGACGAUCCGUAGCUGGUCGGAGAGGAUGUUCAGCCACACUGGAACUGAGACACGGUCCAGACUCCUACGGGAGGCAGCGGUGGGGAAGAUUGGACAAUGGGCGCAAGCCUGAUCCAGCCAUACCGCGUGGGUGAAGAAGGCCUUCGGGUUGUAAAGCCCUUUUGUUGUGAAAGAAAAGUAGCAGGUUAAUACCCCGCUGUUCUGACGGUACCCAAAGAAUAAGCACCGGCUAACUUCGUG
RNAcentral lists this ribosomal RNA (492 nucleotides) under uncultured bacterium. RNAcentral describes it as "partial 16S ribosomal RNA". It matches the Rfam family "Bacterial small subunit ribosomal RNA", at positions 29 to 507 of the family's 1533-position model. The record is from RNAcentral.